RNAcentral lists this ribosomal RNA (478 nucleotides) under uncultured organism. RNAcentral's name for it is "partial 16S ribosomal RNA". It matches the Rfam family "Bacterial small subunit ribosomal RNA", at positions 332 to 801 of the family's 1533-position model. The record is from RNAcentral.
UACACUCCUACGGGAGGCAGCAGUGGGGAAUUUUGGACAAUGGGCGAAAGCCUGAUCCAGCAAUGCCGCGUGUGUGAAGAAGGCCUUCGGGUUGUAAAGCACUUUUGUCCGGAAAGAAAUCCUUGGCUCUAAUACAGUCGGGGGAUGACGGUACCGGAAGAAUAAGCACCGGCUAACUACGUGCCAGCAGCCGCGGUAAUACGUAGGGUGCGAGCGUUAAUCGGAAUUACUGGGCGUAAAGCGUGCGCAGGCGGUUUGCUAAGACCGAUGUGAAAUCCCCGGGCUCAACCUGGGAACUGCAUUGGUGACUGGCAGGCUAGAGUAUGGCAGAGGGGGGUAGAAUUCCACGUGUAGCAGUGAAAUGCGUAGAGAUGUGGAGGAAUACCGAUGGCGAAGGCAGCCCCCUGGGCCAAUACUGACGCUCAUGCACGAAAGCGUGGGGAGCAAACAGGAUUAGAUACCCCGGUAGUCCCAUGAU